Long non-coding RNA from Bufo bufo (common toad), 202 nucleotides. RefSeq lists it as uncharacterized. The transcript is spliced from 3 exons. The record is from RefSeq and is a predicted model, not a curated record. Lineage: Eukaryota; Metazoa; Chordata; Amphibia; Anura; Bufonidae.
AGAGGUGUACUGGUCAUUGGUCCCUUAAGUUACAAUAUUAAUUGGUUCCAGGACGACCAUUGUAUGUUGAAACCAUUGUAAGUUGAGUAAUCAGUUACAAAGCCCCAAAAUAUCAUCCAAGAUCAGAGAAAAUGAAGAUUUAAGAACAAUAAGCAGAUAACUAAGACAGAUUAAUCAAGUCCUUACAUAUAACAGUCGGGAA